This 2901-nucleotide ribosomal RNA is filed under the name Shigella sonnei 3233-85. RNAcentral's name for it is "bacterial LSU rRNA". It matches the Rfam family "Bacterial large subunit ribosomal RNA". The record is from RNAcentral. Lineage: Bacteria; Pseudomonadati; Pseudomonadota; Gammaproteobacteria; Enterobacterales; Enterobacteriaceae.
UUAAGCGACUAAGCGUACACGGUGGAUGCCCUGGCAGUCAGAGGCGAUGAAGGACGUGCUAAUCUGCGAUAAGCGUCGGUAAGGUGAUAUGAACCGUUAUAACCGGCGAUUUCCGAAUGGGGAAACCCAGUGUGAUUCGUCACACUAUCAUUAACUGAAUCCAUAGGUUAAUGAGGCGAACCGGGGGAACUGAAACAUCUAAGUACCCCGAGGAAAAGAAAUCAACCGAGAUUCCCCCAGUAGCGGCGAGCGAACGGGGAGCAGCCCAGAGCCUGAAUCAGUGUGUGUGUUAGUGGAAGCGUCUGGAAAGGCGCGCGAUACAGGGUGACAGCCCCGUACACAAAAAUGCACAUAUUGUGAGCUCGAUGAGUAGGGGCGGGACACGUGGUAUCCUGUCUGAAUAUGCGGGGACCAUCCUCCAAGGCUAAAUACUCCUGACUGACCGAUAGUGAACCAGUACCGUGAGGGAAAGGCGAAAAGAACCCCGGCGAGGGGAGUGAAAAAGAACCUGAAACCGUGUACGUACAAGCAGUGGGAGCACGCUUAGGCGUGUGACUGCGUACCUUUUGUAUAAUGGGUCAGCGACUUAUAUUCUGUAGCAAGGUUAACCGAAUAGGGGAGCCGAAGGGAAACCGAGUCUUAACUGGGCGUUAAGUUGCAGGGUAUAGACCCGAAACCCGGUGAUCUAGCCAUGGGCAGGUUGAAGGUUGGGUAACACUAACUGGAGGACCGAACCGACUAAUGUUGAAAAAUUAGCGGAUGACUUGUGGCUGGGGGUGAAAGGCCAAUCAAACCGGGAGAUAGCUGGUUCUCCCCGAAAGCUAUUUAAGUAGCGCCUCGUGAAUUCAUCUCCGGGGGUAGAGCACUGUUUCGGCAAGGGGGUCAUCCCGACUUACCAACCCGAUGCAAACUGCGAAUACCGGAGAAUGUUAUCACGGGAGACACACGGCGGGUGCUAACGUCCGUCGUGAAGAGGGAAACAACCCAGACCGCCAGCUAAGGUCCCAAAGUCAUGGUUAAGUGGGAAACGAUGUGGGAAGGCCCAGACAGCCAGGAUGUUGGCUUAGAAGCAGCCAUCAUUUAAAGAAAGCGUAAUAGCUCACUGGUCGAGUCGGCCUGCGCGGAAGAUGUAACGGGGCUAAACCAUGCACCGAAGCUGCGGCAGCGACGCUUAUGCGUUGUUGGGUAGGGGAGCGUUCUGUAAGCCUGCGAAGGUGUGCUGUGAGGCAUGCUGGAGGUAUCAGAAGUGCGAAUGCUGACAUAAGUAACGAUAAAGCGGGUGAAAAGCCCGCUCGCCGGAAGACCAAGGGUUCCUGUCCAACGUUAAUCGGGGCAGGGUGAGUCGACCCCUAAGGCGAGGCCGAAAGGCGUAGUCGAUGGGAAACAGGUUAAUAUUCCUGUACUUGGUGUUACUGCGAAGGGGGGACGGAGAAGGCUAUGUUGGCCGGGCGACGGUUGUCCCGGUUUAAGCGUGUAGGCUGGUUUUCCAGGCAAAUCCGGAAAAUCAAGGCUGAGGCGUGAUGACGAGGCACUACGGUGCUGAAGCAACAAAUGCCCUGCUUCCAGGAAAAGCCUCUAAGCAUCAGGUAACAUCAAAUCGUACCCCAAACCGACACAGGUGGUCAGGUAGAGAAUACCAAGGCGCUUGAGAGAACUCGGGUGAAGGAACUAGGCAAAAUGGUGCCGUAACUUCGGGAGAAGGCACGCUGAUAUGUAGGUGAAGUCCCUUGCGGAUGGAGCUGAAAUCAGUCGAAGAUACCAGCUGGCUGCAACUGUUUAUUAAAAACACAGCACUGUGCAAACACGAAAGUGGACGUAUACGGUGUGACGCCUGCCCGGUGCCGGAAGGUUAAUUGAUGGGGUCAGCGCAAGCGAAGCUCUUGAUCGAAGCCCCGGUAAACGGCGGCCGUAACUAUAACGGUCCUAAGGUAGCGAAAUUCCUUGUCGGGUAAGUUCCGACCUGCACGAAUGGCGUAAUGAUGGCCAGGCUGUCUCCACCCGAGACUCAGUGAAAUUGAACUCGCUGUGAAGAUGCAGUGUACCCGCGGCAAGACGGAAAGACCCCGUGAACCUUUACUAUAGCUUGACACUGAACAUUGAGCCUUGAUGUGUAGGAUAGGUGGGAGGCUUUGAAGUGUGGACGCCAGUCUGCAUGGAGCGCCUUGAAAUACCACCCUUUAAUGUUUGAUGUUCUAACGUGGACCCGUGAUCCGGGUUGCGGACAGUGUCUGGUGGGUAGUUUGACUGGGGCGGUCUCCUCCUAAAGAGUAACGGAGGAGCACGAAGGUUGGCUAAUCCUGGUCGGACAUCAGGAGGUUAGUGCAAUGGCAUAAGCCAGCUUGACUGCGAGCGUGACGGCGCGAGCAGGUGCGAAAGCAGGUCAUAGUGAUCCGGUGGUUCUGAAUGGAAGGGCCAUCGCUCAACGGAUAAAAGGUACUCCGGGGAUAACAGGCUGAUACCGCCCAAGAGUUCAUAUCGACGGCGGUGUUUGGCACCUCGAUGUCGGCUCAUCACAUCCUGGGGCUGAAGUAGGUCCCAAGGGUAUGGCUGUUCGCCAUUUAAAGUGGUACGCGAGCUGGGUUUAGAACGUCGUGAGACAGUUCGGUCCCUAUCUGCCGUGGGCGCUGGAGAACUGAGGGGGGCUGCUCCUAGUACGAGAGGACCGGAGUGGACGCAUCACUGGUGUUCGGGUUGUCAUGCCAAUGGCACUGCCCGGUAGCUAAAUGCGGAAGAGAUAAGUGCUGAAAGCAUCUAAGCACGAAACUUGCCCCGAGAUGAGUUCUCCCUGACCCUUUAAGGGUCCUGAAGGAACGUUGAAGACGACGACGUUGAUAGGCCGGGUGUGUAAGCGCAGCGAUGCGUUGAGCUAACCGGUACUAAUGAACCGUGAGGCUUAACCUU